RNAcentral lists this ribosomal RNA (403 nucleotides) under uncultured bacterium. RNAcentral describes it as "bacterial SSU rRNA". It matches the Rfam family "Bacterial small subunit ribosomal RNA", at positions 355 to 776 of the family's 1533-position model. The record is from RNAcentral.
UGAGGAAUUUUCCGCAAUGGGCGCAAGCCUGACGGAGCGACGCCGUGUGGGUGAUGAAGGCUUUCGGGUCUUAAAACCCUGUCAGCAGGAACGAUAUUGACGGUACCUGCAGAGGAAGCCCCGGCUAACUACGUGCCAGCAGCCGCGGUAAUACGUAGGGGGCGAACGUUGUCCGGAAUCAUUGGGCGUAAAGCGCAUGUAGGCGGUCCAGUAAGUCAGGUGUUAAAUCCCCGGGCUCAACCCGGGUUCGCAUUUGAUACUGCCGGGCUAGAGAAAUGUAGAGGAAAGCGGAACUACCGGUGUAGCGGUGAAAUGCGUAGAUAUCGGUAGGAACACCAGUGGCGAAGGCGGCUUUCUGGCCAUUUUCUGACGCUGAGAUGCGAAAGCUAGGGGAGCAAACGGG